Molecule: ribosomal RNA, 497 nt
Filed under: uncultured bacterium
Lineage: Bacteria
Description: partial 16S ribosomal RNA
Rfam family: Bacterial small subunit ribosomal RNA
Source: RNAcentral
GACGAACGCUGGCGGCGUGCUUAACACAUGCAAGUCGAGCGAAAAGACGUGAAUCUUGUUUUUUUUUUGUUUUCGUCGCGCGGGUGAGUAAAACGUGGAUCCUCCCCUUUCAUCACUGGGAUAACUUCGGGACACCGGAGCUAAUAUCGGAUAAUCUUAUGAACCGCAUGGUUGAAAAUUGAAUGACGGUCUUUCUGUCACUUAUAGAGGCAUCCCCGCUGCAUUAUCUGGUUGUUAGUGUAACGGUGUUCUAAGGCAACGCUGCAUAGCAGACCUGAGAGGGUGAUCGGCCACACUGGAACUGGGACACGGUCCAGACUCCUACGGGAGGCAGAAGUAGGAAAUCUUCAGAAAUGGGCGAAAGCCUGACGGAGAAGCGGCGCGUGGGUGAGGAAGAUCUUGGGAUCGUAAGACUCGGUUAUUAGGGAAGAACAGAUGUGUAAGUAACUGUACACGUAUUGACGGUACCGGAUCAGAAAGCCACGGCUAACUACGUG